GACGAACGCUGGCGGCGUGCCUAGUACAUGCAAGUAGAACGCUGAAGGAGGAGCUUGCUCUUCUGGAUGAGUUGCGAACGGGUGAGUAACGCGUAGGUAACCUGCCUGGUAGCGGGGGAUAACUAUUGGAAACGAUAGCUAAUACCGCAUAACAGUAGAUGUUGCAUGACAUUUACUUAAAAGGUGCAAUUGCAUCACUACCAGAUGGACCUGCGUUGUAUUAGCUAGUUGGUGGGGUAACGGCUCACCAAGGCGACGAUACAUAGCCGACCUGAGAGGGUGAUCGGCCACACUGGGACUGAGACACGGCCCAGACUCCUACGGGAGGCAGCAGUAGGGAAUCUUCGGCAAUGGACGGAAGUCUGACCGAGCAACGCCGCGUGAGUGAAGAAGGUUUUCGGAUCGUAAAGCUCUGUUGUAAGAGAAGAACGAGUGUGAGAGUGGAAAGUUCACACUGUGACGGUAUCUUACCAGAAAGGGACGGCUAACUACGUG
RNAcentral lists this ribosomal RNA (495 nucleotides) under uncultured bacterium. RNAcentral describes it as "partial 16S ribosomal RNA". It matches the Rfam family "Bacterial small subunit ribosomal RNA", at positions 28 to 507 of the family's 1533-position model. The record is from RNAcentral.